This 119-nucleotide non-coding RNA is filed under the name Paraburkholderia sp. Its description in RNAcentral is "Glycine sequence". It matches the Rfam family "Glycine riboswitch aptamer". From Rfam's summary of the family: This family represents the bacterial glycine riboswitch. Glycine riboswitches usually consist of two metabolite-binding aptamers domains with similar structures in tandem. Lineage: Bacteria; Pseudomonadati; Pseudomonadota; Betaproteobacteria; Burkholderiales; Burkholderiaceae. The record is from RNAcentral.
UCUUCGCACUCUGGAGAGCGGCAGUAGCGUGCAGCGCACGCAAGCUGCCCACCGAAGGGGCGCGCGCUACGUAGCAACGUCGGCGCAAUCUCUCAGGUACCGAGGACAGAGGGGGCAUG